AGAGUUUGAUCCCGGCUCAGAAUCAACGCUGGCGGCGCGCUUAACACAUGCAAGUCGAACGAAAAAGGGAGCAAUCCUGAGUAAAGUGGCGUACUGGUGAGUAACACGUGGAUAUCUACCUCCUGGUGGGGAAUAACCUGGGGAAACCUGGGCUAAUACCGCAUAAGUUCGAGAGAAGAAAGGCGCAAGUCGCCGGGAGAGGAGUCCGCGGUCGAUUAGGUAGUUGGCGGGGUAAAAGCCCACCAAGCCAAAGAUCGAUAGCCGGCCUGAGAGGGCACACGGCCACACUGGCACUGAAACACGGGCCAGACUCCUACGGGAGGCAGCAGUGGGGAAUCUUGCACAAUGGGGGAAACCCUGAUGCAGCGACGCCGCGUGAGCGAUGAAGCCCUUCGGGGUGUAAAGCUCUUUCGGCAGGAACGAUAAUGACGGUACCUGCAGAAGAAGCUGCGGCUAACUACGUGCCAGCAGCCGCGGUAAUACGUAGGCAGCGAGCGUUGUUCGGAAUUACUGGGCGUAAAGAGUGUGUAGGUGGUGUCGUAAGUUUGGUGUGAAAUCUCCCGGCUUAACUGGGAGGGUGCGCCGAAGACUGCGAGGCUGGAGUAUGGGAGAGGAAAGCGGAAUUCCUGGUGUAGCGGUGAAAUGCGUAGAUAUCGUAAGGAAGACCAGUGGCGAAGGCGAAUCUCUGGACAGUUACUGACACUGAGGCACGAAGGCCAGGGGAGCAAACGGGAUUAGAUACCCCGGUAGUCCUGGCAGUAAACGGUGCGCGUUUGGUGUGGGAGGAUUCGACCCCUUCUGUGCCGGAGCUAACGCGUUAAACGCGCCGCCUGGGGAGUACGGUCGCAAGAUUAAAACUCGAAGAAAUUGACGGGGGCCCGCACAAGCGGUGGAGUAUGUGGCUUAAUUCGAUCCUACGCGAAGAACCUUACCUAGCCUUGACAUGCAUCUCUAAGUCGGUGAAAGCCGGCGACUGUAGCAAUACAGAAUUUGCACAGGUGCUGCAUGGCUGUCGUCAGCUCGUGUCGUGAGAUGUUGGGUUAAGUCCCGCAACGAGCGCAACCCCUGUGAACUGUUGCCACCGGCCUUCGGGCCGAGCACUCUGUUCAGACUGCCCUGUGAAACGGGGAGGAAGGUGGGGAUGACGUCAAGUCAGCAUGGCCCUUACGGCUAGGGCUGCACACGUACUACAAUGCUCAGUACAGAAUGAACCGAAACCGCGAGGUGGAGGAAAUCCCUAAAACUGAGCCCAAUUCGGAUUGGAGGCUGCAACUCGCCUCCAUGAAGCCGGAAUCGCUAGUAAUGGCGUAUCAGCUACGACGCCGUGAAUACGUUCCCGGGCCUUGUACACACCGCCCGUCACAUCAUGGAAGUCACUUGUACCCGAAGUGCAUGCGCCAACCGCAAGGAGGCAGUGCCCUAAGGUAUGGGCGGUAACUGGGAUGAAGUCGUAACAAGGUA
This 1461-nucleotide ribosomal RNA is filed under the name metagenome. RNAcentral's name for it is "bacterial SSU rRNA". It matches the Rfam family "Bacterial small subunit ribosomal RNA". The record is from RNAcentral.